Molecule: small RNA, 127 nt
Filed under: Marmota monax (woodchuck)
Lineage: Eukaryota; Metazoa; Chordata; Mammalia; Rodentia; Sciuridae
Source: RNAcentral
GCCCAGUGCAGUGGCGCACACCUGUAAUCCCAGUGGCUCGGGAGGCUGAGGCAGGAGGACCACAAGUUCAAGGCCAGCCUCAGCAACUUAGCGAGGACCCAAGCAACUUUGUGAGACCCUGUCUCUA